UAGUGCUGGAUGUGUUGGAUGAGGAAUUUAUAUAUGUUUGAGGUCUCGAAUAUAUAAAUUACUGAUUAUAUAAAGUUCUGAAAUCAGUAAUAUCAACUAAAUAGAAAACUAUGCUCAGGAUACUGCCGCGAAUGCUGGUCUACCCGUUUGGAGAUUCAAGUUUAUACAAGCAGUAUAGGCUCCGGCAGUUCUUGUAACUCUACUUGGUGCAUUGAAUAUAAUGGGGAUGACUAUUCUUGUUAUGGAUAAUCCUCUGGAAAGUGAUCCUGUGCAAUCAAAGACUGCGUUUGUUACGUUCAAGGAUGCCAAAGCUCUUGAAAUCGCACUCUUGUUAUCGGCUCUUGUUCUUGG
Molecule: long non-coding RNA, 351 nt
Organism: Rosa chinensis
Lineage: Eukaryota; Viridiplantae; Streptophyta; Magnoliopsida; Rosales; Rosaceae
Exons: 4
Source: RefSeq, a predicted model, not a curated record